GCUUUUGGUGGCUGUGGAUUUCUGCACAGAAGCGGUCCUUGAAGCAUCCCUUGGACAGGACUGCAAAAGGUGACUAAACAGUUUAGUGCUGUGCUGGCUAUGCUGCUUCUGCAGAUGUUGGAGAGAAAUCCUUGGCUACGGAGAAGUGGCGGGAAGUAGGAUGAGCUUUUGUUCAUCUUGCUGCCAGGUGAUGAGCUUUGCACACCAGACAGACUUGGUGCCAUCACUCCUACAGCUUCCAGUUAUGAGUGCUUUCUGAGCCCUGUGUGAAUUCCAGCAGGAUGCAGGCUCAAAUUUUGCAUCUCAGCAACCAAGAUGUAUGGCUAAUAAAUCCUGAUUGCAGACGAAGAGUGCUUAAGAUCAGGAAUCUCAGCCCACAGGAUGAACUGAGAAGUGGAAGACAGAGAUGGUGGCUGAAGUCUGCCAAGAUUCAGAGGAGUGCAGCAGCGUGCCAGAUCCUCGCUGGAUUUGAGCAUAUCAGCCUGCUCUGGUGGCUAGCUUAUUUGGAUGGCACAGUGAACUGCCUGGAUCUCUUACAUUUAUGUGAAGAUCAUUUCCCUGGACUUCAAUGUGAGCCCAAUUCUUUGUCUCUGCUGGAAGCCAUCCUAAGAGAUGAUGGAGGAAUGCUGUGUGAGCCAGCCAGCCUGCAGGAUGAGUCACCCUGGGAAGAUCACUCUUGUACCAAAGGAGAAGUCAAAUGUAGUGGAAUGCUGUGCAAGACAACAGAUAAUGGAUGGACAAUUGGAGGACAACAAUCCCUGGGCUCAUGCCCAGAAAACUGGAUAUUCACACAAAAGAGCACCCUGAAAGAACACCUGCGAUUGAGAGGCUUUGCUCAUCACUAG
RNAcentral lists this long non-coding RNA (845 nucleotides) under Anas platyrhynchos platyrhynchos (common mallard). RNAcentral describes it as "lncRNA (ENSAPLG00000021658.1)". The record is from RNAcentral. Lineage: Eukaryota; Metazoa; Chordata; Aves; Anseriformes; Anatidae.